Molecule: signal recognition particle RNA, 295 nt
Filed under: Aotus nancymaae (Ma's night monkey)
Lineage: Eukaryota; Metazoa; Chordata; Mammalia; Primates; Aotidae
Description: Metazoan signal recognition particle RNA (ENSANAG00000001257.1)
Rfam family: Metazoan signal recognition particle RNA
About the family: The signal recognition particle (SRP) is a universally conserved ribonucleoprotein. It is involved in the co-translational targeting of proteins to membranes.
Source: RNAcentral
UCCAGGCAUGGUGGUGUGCCUGUAGUUCCAGCUACUUGGGAGGAUGAGGUAGGAGUAUCGCUUGAGCCCAGGAAUUCUGGGCUGUAGUGUGCUAUGCCCAUCUGGUGUCCACACUAAGUUCAGUAUCAAUAUGGUGAUCUCCUGGGAGCAGGGGACCACCAGGUUGCCUAGCGGGGUGAACCAGCCCAGGUCAGAAACGGAGCAGGUCAAAACUCUCAUGCUGAUCAGUAGUGGGAUAGCACCUGUGAAUAGCCACUGCACUCCAGCCUGGGCAACAUAGUGAGACACUGUUUCA